RNAcentral lists this ribosomal RNA (859 nucleotides) under uncultured bacterium. RNAcentral describes it as "SSU rRNA". It matches the Rfam family "Bacterial small subunit ribosomal RNA", at positions 524 to 1381 of the family's 1533-position model. The record is from RNAcentral.
UACGUAAGUGGCAAGCGUUGUCCGGAAUUAUUGGGCGUAAAGCGCGCGCAGGCGGUCCUUUAAGUCUGAUGUGAAAGCCCGCGGCUCAACCGUGUAAGGUCAUUGGAAACUGGGGGACUUGAGUGCGGAAGAGGUUAAGGGAAUUCCCGGUGUAGCGGUGAAAUGCGUAGAGAUUUGGAGGAACACCAGUGGCGAAGGCGACUAGCUGGUCUGUAACUGACGCUGAUGCGCGAAAGCGUGGGGAGCAAACGGGAUUAGAUACCCUGGUAGUCCAGGCCGUAAACGAUGAGUGCUAAGUGUUAGGGGAUUCCCGCCCCUUAGUGCUGCAGCAAACGCAUUAAGCGCUCCGCCUGGGGAGUACGGCCGCAAGGGUGAAACUCAAAGGAAUUGACGGGGGCCCGCACAAGCGGUGGAGCAUGUGGUUUAAUUCGAAGCAACGCGAAGAACCUUACCAGGUCUUGACAUCCCGUUGACCACUGGAAAGAUAUGGAUUUCCCUUCGGAGACCACGGAGACAGGUGGUGCAUGGUUGUCGUCAGCUCGUGUCGUGAGAUGUUGGGUUAAGUCCCCCACCGAGCCCAACCCCUAUUCUUAGUUGCCACCAUCUAGUUGGGCACUCUAAGGAGACUGCCGGUGACAAACCGGAGGAAGGUGGGGAUGACGUCAAAUCAUCAUGCCCCUUACGUCCUGGGCUACACACGUGCUACAAUGGUCGAUACAAACGGCAGCCAACCCGCGAGGGGGAGCUAAUCCGAUAAAAUCGUUCUCAGUUCGGAUUGUAGGCUGCAACUCGCCUACAUGAAGGCGGAAUCGCUAGUAAUCGCGGAUCAGCAUGCCACGGUGAAUACGUUCCCGGGCCU